Molecule: non-coding RNA, 1909 nt
Organism: Jatropha curcas
Lineage: Eukaryota; Viridiplantae; Streptophyta; Magnoliopsida; Malpighiales; Euphorbiaceae
Source: RefSeq, a predicted model, not a curated record
UUAAACUUAAGGGUACAAAUUUAUGUACUAGGCUGUUCUCCGUCCCAAGUAAAUUUACGCAUGGCAUAGCAAUUAAGAAAAACACAAAGAAGACUACGAGUGCAAUCACGAAAAACCAGGUCCGUCUUUAACACUGUUUCUGCGUCUGUCUGCAGACUUCUGCCUCUCUCCCACCACUGCUACAACCGCCACAGCUACCGCCUCCAUGGGUCAAGGCCCAUCAGGCAUGAACCGCCCACCGGGCGAUCGCAAAAAUGAUUCCGAUAACAAAAAGGACAAGAAAUACGAACCCGCGGCUCCCCCGUCCCGCGUCGGCCGCAAGCAGCGGAAACAAAAGGGCCCUGAGGCCGCCGCCCGACUGCCAACCGUCACCCCUCUGACUAAAUGUAAGCUUCGCCUCCUGAAACUAGAGCGCAUCAAGGACUAUCUUCUAAUGGAGGAGGAAUUCGUGGCCAAUCAAGAGAGGCUGAAGCCGUUAGAGGAGAAGAACGAGGAAGAUAGAUCGAAGGUCGACGAUUUGAGAGGCUCGCCAAUGAGCGUCGGCAACUUGGAGGAGCUAAUUGAUGAAAACCACGCCAUAGUUUCGUCGUCAGUCGGGCCUGAGUACUAUGUGGGGAUUCUUUCCUUCGUUGAUAAGGACCAGCUCGAGCCUGGGUGCGCUAUUCUCAUGCACAAUAAGGUCCUUUCUGUUGUUGGGCUUCUUCAAGAUGAGGUUGAUCCCAUGGUUUCUGUAAUGAAGGUUGAGAAAGCUCCACUGGAAUCAUAUGCUGAUAUUGGUGGGUUGGAUGCCCAAAUACAAGAAAUUAAAGAAGCAGUGGAGCUUCCACUCACUCAUCCUGAAUUGUAUGAAGAUAUUGGUAUUAAACCCCCUAAAGGAGUCAUACUUUAUGGGGAGCCUGGAACUGGUAAAACUUUGCUUGCCAAGGCAGUCGCAAAUUCUACUUCCGCAACUUUCUUGCGUGUAGUAGGGAGUGAAUUGAUUCAGAAAUACUUGGGAGAUGGCCCAAAAUUAGUCAGGGAACUCUUCAGAGUUGCAGAUGAUCUUUCGCCAUCAAUUGUAUUCAUUGAUGAAAUAGAUGCAGUUGGCACAAAGAGAUAUGAUGCACAUUCUGGUGGUGAACGUGAGAUACAGAGAACUAUGUUGGAAUUGCUGAACCAGUUGGAUGGUUUUGAUUCCAGGGGAGAUGUUAAAGUAAUUCUUGCAACAAACAGAAUAGAAAGUCUUGAUCCUGCUUUGCUGCGCCCUGGAAGAAUAGACAGAAAGAUUGAAUUUCCCCUUCCAGAUAUCAAAACCAGAAGGCGCAUAUUCCAGAUACAUACAUCGAGGAUGACAUUGGCAGAUGAUGUUAACUUAGAAGAGUUUGUAAUGACCAAGGAUGAAUUCUCUGGGGCUGAUAUCAAAGCUAUAUGUACAGAAGCUGGCUUGCUAGCUUUAAGAGAGCGGCGCAUGAAGGUGACUCAUGCAGACUUCAAGAAAGCAAAGGAGAAAGUGAUGUUCAAAAAGAAAGAAGGGGUGCCAGAAGGACUUUAUCUAUGAAGGCAAAUCCUUUAUGUGAGGGUAGUAGAAACUCUUUUCUUGUUUCUUUUAGCUCUUCACAUCGGGUUCCAUGAUCUUCGUUUGAGAUAUAGAUGGAGACAGACUCAUUGGGUGGAUUUGAGUACGGAAGAUAAGUGGAAAUAAGGGGAGUGAGAGUGACAUGCAGCUUGAGGUUUUAUGGAAAGGAGGAAGAUGGCGGUGGGGCUUCAGCGGUGAAUUGGAGAUUGGGUUGUGGAACGGUGCAAAUACUGGAAAGGGAAUAGGGGUGAAUUUGAGGGUUGUAAAAGAGACGAAUAAAGGAACAGGAACAAAAAAACUAUGUAGGAUAAUUUUAUCUUCUUGUUAAAAAUUAGCGGUAAAGUUUUCUUUUAA